Molecule: ribosomal RNA, 469 nt
Filed under: uncultured bacterium
Lineage: Bacteria
Description: bacterial SSU rRNA
Rfam family: Bacterial small subunit ribosomal RNA
Source: RNAcentral
GACGAACGCUGGCGGCGUGCUUAACACAUGCAAGUCGAACGGUGACCCAGGGCUUGCCCUGGUGAUCAGUGGCGAACGGGUGAGUAACACGUGGGCAACCUGCCCCUGACUUCGGGAUAACUCCUCGAAAGAGGAGCUAAUACCGGAUACGACCACUUCGGACAUCCGAUGGUGGUGGAAAGUUUUUCGGUCAGGGAUGGGCCCGCGGCCUAUCAGCUAGUUGGUGGGGUAAUGGCCUACCAAGGCGACGACGGGUAGCCGGCCUGAGAGGGCGACCGGCCACACUGGGACUGAGACACGGCCCAGACUCCUACGGGAGGCAGCAGUGGGGAAUAUUGCGCAAUGGGCGAAAGCCUGACGCAGCGACGCCGCGUGAGGGAUGAAGGCCUUCGGUUGUAAACCUCUUUCAGCAGGACGAAGCGAAAGUGACGGUACCUGCAGAAGAAGCACCGGCUAACUACGUGCCAGC